Molecule: ribosomal RNA, 253 nt
Filed under: uncultured bacterium
Lineage: Bacteria
Description: partial 16S ribosomal RNA
Rfam family: Bacterial small subunit ribosomal RNA
Source: RNAcentral
UACGUAGGGGGCAAGCGUUGUCCGGAUUUAUUGGGCGUAAAGAGCGUGUAGGCGGCCACACAGGUCUGCUGUGAAAACUCGAGGCUCAACCUCGAGCUGUCGGUGGAAACCGUGUGGCUAGAGUCCGGAAGAGGAGAGUGGAAUUCCCGGUGUAGCGGUGAAAUGCGCAGAUAUCAGGAGGAACACCGAUGGCGAAGGCAGGUCUCUGGGCAUUAACUGACGCUGAGGAGCGAAAGCAUGGGGAGCGAACAGG